RNAcentral lists this ribosomal RNA (253 nucleotides) under uncultured bacterium. Its description in RNAcentral is "partial 16S ribosomal RNA". It matches the Rfam family "Bacterial small subunit ribosomal RNA", at positions 524 to 776 of the family's 1533-position model. The record is from RNAcentral.
UACGUAGGGACCAAGCGUUGUUCGGAUUUACUGGGCGUAAAGGGUGCGUAGGUGGCGCUGUAAGUCGGGUGUGAAAUUUCGGAGCUUAACUCCGAAACUGCAUUCGAUACUGCGGUGCUUGAGGACUGGAGAGGAGACUGGAAUUCAUGGUGUAGCAGUGAAAUGCGUAGAGAUCAUGAGGAAGACCAGUGGCGAAGGCGGGUCUCUGGACAGUUCCUGACACUGAGGCACGAAGGCCAGGGGAGCAAACGGG